UUCUCUCUCAGGUAUCGAAUAAUAUCACUAGACAAUCUCUCCAUAAAGGUCUUGUGCAAAUGUGUGUGCCAUCUUGGAAUUAAAAGUACAAAUCGGUCGAUACAAGUUUCAAAAAGACAACCUUACUCAACUACAUUCAAAUUAUCUAAAAGACACUACAUACAUAUACUUUACGAAAACAUGCUAAACACCAACUACUCCUAAAGUUCGAGUGAGGGAAAGACAACUUAGCUAAAAGUAUCUCUAUUUUUGGAUUUUCUAAUUUUUUCAUUUUUUUAGGGUUUUUCAUUUUUUAAGAAUUACACUAAAGCCCUCCCCAUACCUAAAUCAUGCAUUGUCCUCAAUGUAUGCAAAAGAGAGAAUUGAAAUGAGAGAGUAAAGAGGAAAAAUACCUGAAUAGGAGAUGAAUGGGAUUUUUAUUAACGAACGAAGCAUUAACACGACCCACACACUCACACAUUUACUUCCCCAUACCUGAAUUUCAUGAGGGAAGGUUCGAAGGAGGAACCACUUCAGCCGAUUCCGGAAGG
This 530-nucleotide long non-coding RNA is filed under the name Daucus carota (carrot). Its description in RNAcentral is "long non-coding RNA (DCAR_LNC007474)". The record is from RNAcentral. Lineage: Eukaryota; Viridiplantae; Streptophyta; Magnoliopsida; Apiales; Apiaceae.